GCCGUGACGAGUCCGGCUGCGCUUGCAGCGAGGUCGUGGCUUCGGCGAGGAGGCGUCAGGCAAGGGGGAAACGGGGCUGCCUGGUUAAUAUACAUAAUGUAUAUGCAAAUACAUAUGCAAAUAUAUGUGUGUAUGUAUAUUUAUAUAUAUGUAUGUAUAUGUAUAUACGUAUAUGCAUAUAUAUAUAUAUAUAUAUAUAUAUGCAUAUGUAUGUAUGUAUAUGCAUACUGUAUAUAUAUAUGUGUGUGUGUGUCUCUCUCUCGUUUUAUAUUUCGUAUUGCGUCCAUGCGGUUUAAGUAAAGGGGAUGCUGGAGACAGAAGAGGCGAGGGAGUUGUGGGCUGUUCGAUUGGAUGACUAUGGAAAAAAGAGGAGGCCAUGCCAGCGCGGGCGCGGAUGAGGAGAUCAAGGGCAGGAAAUGCAACCUAAGAAUCAUCGAUAGCAUAUGGAGGAACUGAGGAAAAAGUGAAAAAGUUCAUAAUGGGGUGGGGUGGGGGACGCUGGUAUGGAGUUGCCAUGGGAAACUGACAGGUAUCCAUAUGUACAGCCUGAGCCCCCGCCCCUCAUCUCUCCAGUUGCAACGAAGCAUGCACAGGGUCACACCCUGGCCCAGGCAGAGAAUGGGUCUUAUUUGACUGGAGGAGGAGAGAGAAAAUCGUCUGAGAAGGAUGCGCUUUUCCUAGAAGGGGAAAACCCAAAAGGGCCACAUUCUAGAGGCAGGCUUUUUCUUGGGAAAAUAGGGAUUACAUUGCCUUUUAAAAAGCAGCAAUAAAAAGAGCAUUUAUCUAAAUUACAAGCUGGACAGAAAAUACCUCUUGCUGGUUGCUAAGUAGUUGUUGGGAGACUACAGCUUGGGUUUCCAGCCGGUGUUACCUCAGGACAAUAAGCCUGGUUUAUAGAAAACUUGCUCAACAUGUCUCCAAGGUAUUCUAAGGUCAUACCCCUCCACCUUUCUCUAAUGCUGUAGGAAACCCUGCUGUAUCAUAUUGUGUGUGUGUGUGUUUAGCUUGUAUAUAGCAUCAGGCAGGCCAGUGGAAAGGGCAUAUUUUAAUGAAUGUAUUUAUGUAAAAGUUUCCAGGGCUUUUUGCUACCAGUUUUAACAUGCUCCAUAGUAGCAAUCUCGGAUAAAAAAAUUAAAUAAAAUUGGUAUGGAUACCAAAAACACCUUUAAUAAAUAUGGCACAGGUCAGUAAAGGAUCAUUUUAGUCUCUUCCUGCUAUAAACUGUAAGUUUGGCACUUAGUUGGCCUCUUGCUUUCUUUAUCAUGGUCUAAUUCAUCUUGCAGGUCCAUUUAUAGGGCUUGUUCCAAACAAAUCAAUCCUAUGCAUGUCCACUCAGAACUUCCUUAGGGAAGGAAUAUCACAGCUUCAGCAUCACCACAAGGAAGGCCCUGUCUCACAUUACCACCAGCCACACUUUAAACAGUGGGUACACACUAAGCCAGGUCUCCAAUUAAGAUUUCACCAUGUGAUUAGUUUCAUAGGGUGUUCUUUAAGGUAUCCUGCGUCUCUAGACCAUUUAGGACUUAAAGCAUGGGUAGGCAAACUAAGGCCCGGGGGCCGGAUCUGGCCCAAUCGCCUUCUAAAUCCAGCCCGCGGACGGCCCGGGAAUCAACAUGUUUUUACAUGAGUAGAAUAUGUCCUUUUUUUAAAAUGAAAUCUGCCAAAAUCUAUACGUCCAGAUUUUUCUGGCAACUGAAUCCCCGUUUCUGACAACCGAAUCCCAGCCAUGUUCGGGGAAUUCUGGACAUAUGGCAACCCUUGUUGUAUGCUUUAUUUGCCCCGCAGCAGUCAAUUCCCCAGCAGACACAUUUUUUACCUGUUGCAGUUUCCAGGCUAUUCACAAGCAGCCCUAAAGAGAGAGAGCAUUCCAAUACGCCGGUCUAGAAAUGAUUAAGGUAUUAAUUGCUACAGAAAACUGUUAAGGAGCAUUCUAAGCUGUAAGUUAUAUGAGGGACUACCUUUGAAGACUGCUCUCAAACUGCAAUUAGCUUCAGGGGCUAGUCAUAGAGAAGACAUUUCAGUGAUGCUUAAAGAGCUACACUAACUCGCAGGCCAAUUUCAGACACAAUUCCGCGCACCGAGGCUUGCUUUAAAAGCUGUCCGCAACCUUGGAAAGGGAUACCUAUUUCCAAAUUAAAUACCUUCAGAAGUCCCCCUCCAAGUAUCCCAUCAUCAGACAGCGACUGGGCCUUCUUGUUUGGGACACCCGAGUUUCCCCUGGAGAAUGUAGGCCUGGCACCUUCAUUUGUCUUCUUAAAAGGCUUCUUAACUUUAUUUCCCCCAGGCCUACUAAUUUUACGAGAUUUUUAUGCUACCAUUUUAACAUUUGAUUGCUUUUGGAUUAAGCUGGCGACAUUGUCAAAUGCAUCUUACUGUUGUCUUUAAUAAAAAGCUGUGAUUUAAUUGAAAUCUAUUUGAGCUAGGUCAGUGGAAUAGUAAAGUGCUUUUAACAUGUAAGAAGGUUAAAUUUGUCCACGAUGCAUGGAAAAAAAUUGGUGUAUUUAUACCCUCUUGAUCCCAGCUUUAUACUUUAGAAGAGGCAGGCACUAGCACUCUGUUUCAGGAAUGAUCUGAUCAGUAUUCCACACUCCUCUCUUCCUAAUAAGCAGACUUGGAAAAACACGUUUCUCUUGUGAUCAGUCAUCCAUAUGAAGACUUUAAUAAAACAAACAAUUUAAGUAAAAAGCCUGAUACAUUCAUGCAGCACUCUCCAUAAGCCAAUUAGAGAGACUAAUUGUGGUAGGCCUCAAAAGUGAGUUAGCAAGUUUAUUCUAAUGAACAAAGUAUAGAGGAGGAAUAGAACAUGUACUUGCUGCUGGGAAGGCGAUCCAUUCAUGUGGUCUUGAAAGGAUGCAAAUAGUCUUGUCUGAAAGAUAACUUAUUUGUUCCUCUAUUGGACAGCAAAAGGCAUUGCGCAAGUUGGCUGGCAUCCCAUUUGAAAGGUGCUGAGUCAAUUGACUUCCUGGUAUGUUGUGUCUGCUGCGGCAAGCUUUAAACAGUGCCCCUGAAAAUACCUGUUUUCUUGUGUAUUCUUCCCAUCUUUUAGCCAGAUAACAUAGUUAGUAAAUUCAUGUGGUAGAGUCCUUCCUAGUUUAUACAGUGCCAAGUGGGGAAGUAUGGUGUGUGUGUGUGUUUUCGUUAACUCCAAUUAAAAAUCAACAGCAACAACUUCCUUGCAUGUGGAAAACUAACACAUCAAGUAAAAAAACCUUCUAACUUUUCCUUCAUGAUUUUUGUUAUUUAUGUGCAAGAAGCUUCCAUCAAAAUAUUCAUAAAUGCUAUACUGCAUCUGCUGCCUAGUUUAGGAAUGCCUUUACUAGGUGAUUUUGCUUGUUGUGUAAAUUAUCCUCCCCACCUUCAUACUAUUUCUGCUACCUCUUCCACAUUUAUUCUUAACUUAUUUUAAUUUUGCACUAGAGGGUGUGCAGAAGAAGGGCAUGUAUAUUGCAGGGAGAAGGCUGUCCAUAGAGUUUUCCGUUCAUAGGGGUUGGUACCCAUAACCUGCCAGGGCUGGUGUGCAGGUUUUGCCUACACCAUAAAAUGACAAAGAGCCUAUCUCACCAGCAAGGCCACUAUUUUCAAUUUGCACAGGACACUUGAAAUGGCUGGAAGCAACAUGUGAGAAUUCUGGGUUCACAUGCCUCAUGCCUUGCAGUUUAAGGAGUCCCACGGAGAGUGCCCUGAGGAACCAAAGCAGAUGGAGGAAUGAUGGGAGGAGGAGUGAUGAGACCUUCUGAAAGUUGUCAGACCUCUGGCAAGAAGGAUCUUUACCUUCUCCCAGCAGUCCACUGGGUGAGGAAAGAAAGGGAGAAGUUGGGGAAAAGAGAUAGACCAGACCACUUCUGUAUUUGACCCCUCCAUGCCCCUGCCCACAUGCACCCCCUGACAGAUUACUGUCAAUGGACUGCAGCACCAUAGCAGAAAAAAAUGUUACCCCUCAUUGGUGAAGACAGGAUCACAGGUGUGGAUCACAGGUAUGACUCAGUGUAAGGCAACUUGAUAUAUUUACUGUGCCUACUGAAUCCAGCACUUUCUAGGUGUCAACAAAAAUGUGCACAGAUUGUUCUGUUUCUCAUAACAAAUUAAAUUGUGAAGCACGGCAAGCAUAAGUGAUUCAUGCGACAAAUGUGUAGAUAAAAAAAAUAUAUUUAAAUUAUACCAGGCUUUAUCAUUACUGAUUUAACACCGGGUGGGGUGGGGUGGAUUGUGAUACAAGUUCUUUUAAGGUUGCAACCCUAAAUCCACUUACCUGGGAGUAAGUCCCAUUCACUUCAACAGGACUUACUUCUGAGUAGACAUGGUUGGGAUUGCUCUGCUAAGCUUCCAAUGUAUUUUAUUUUCAAUCAUUUCUUUCCUUGCCUCACAAAGUCAUGCAUGCAUCCCCAAGUAUAACUCUUCGGUUGUAGCUAAUAUUCUGCAACUUGCAGGUGCAGCUAUGUCACUUCCAGAGCAAAGACUGGGUUGCAAGGGAGAAACAACCCUAAGCGUGAGGUGUUUUGGAAGUAGAUCCUACUAGUUUCAGCCUAAAACGAUAUGACAGCAAACUUCAUUAAUUUAUUAAUAUUGUAUUUUUACUUCUCAAGAGGCAGGAAGCAUUGCUGGGAUUUCCUGCCUCAGGUAACAGGAGAGCGUGAGUGGUCUUUGGUAGUAAGUACUGUAGCCAGUAACCGAUUGCAUGAUAAGCAGUGCUUACCUAACCUCCAAACACUUUAGUCACUGCUGCUCACAGGGUGGGGAGAGGCAAGGUGGUGAGGUCAGUGCGGUACAAAUACACCAGGUACAAAUACACCAGUGGAGUCAAUCUGGCACUCUUGCUAGUAAGUUCGCACUGUGAUAACCCUCCCUCUGCCGUCCCUGCUCCCUCUUGGGAGCUGUUGGGAGGUCAGCAUCUGCUGUUCCACCUUCUGCAGUAAAAUAUCCAAUGCUAACCCUGUUUUACUCAGAAGUAAAUCCCACUGAACACAGUGAGACUUACUCCCAGGCCUAAAUGUUUUACAUAGGAUUUACUUUAGAGUAAGCUCUAUUUAAACAAAUAGAGAAAAUAGGUACCUGAUAUGGUGCUUUGACCACCAUGUCAGUGCAGUGUCAACAUUAUGAACAGGCUUCUAGGAUUGUGACCUUCAGUACAGCUACUCAUAUAACUCUCUGAAUAAAUAAUAUCUGCUCAGUCCGUGUGCCACUGUAUUUUCAUUGGCUGUUGCCAACACCUUUGGUGUUCUUGUUUAACCAAAAGAUAGGCCAAAGGUGUGUGGCAAGUAUCUUUUUAUUCUAGCUGUUGCAGUUCCAAGGCCAUCGCUCCAGCUGACAAGACCAAAUUUAGAAAAGAAUUAUUUUUUUAACCUCAUCUCUUUCUCUGGAAAAAGGGACAAAGAGCAAGAUUUCAUUGUCCUGUUAUUUGUCUUCCUUUUGCCGCAGCUUCCUAGACCUCAAAGGUUGAAUUUUACAGCUGACUGGGUUGUUAUAAACUCUAAAGUCAUGUAAAGAAAUGGAAUGUGCACCAACUGUAAGCUAUUAACAUGCUUAUCUGUUGACAAAUAAUUAUGUUUUACUUUUGUCUCACCUGCUAAUCUUUACUCUCACUUAGGUUUAAAGGUGAAAGAUCACAAGCUCAAGAGAUUCAGUUUCAGUUUCAAGAUUGAUAAAAUCUUUUCUCUUGUGCUAUUGACCCAAUUGCACAAUUCCACUAAAACCUAUCCACCAGAUGUUUUUUAAAGAUGCAUGGCCAAGAAAUGUAAACGAGCAACGCUACAGCCUUGGGAUACAUAGAUGUCAUCUCGACCAAGAUACAGUACAUUUCUGCAGUGCUGUAGAUUAUGUGAACUACAUGAGUGGGGCUCUGAAGUAUCUUAAGCAGAAUCUGCUGACUGGUAAAUGGAACUAACAUCAUUAUCCUGAGUGCAUUAUUUGACCCAUAGAUUUCAGUGCUCAGCAUGGCAAUCUUUCUCAGUUCACAUUUGUGAGUAUAGGAUUCCUAAAUGUAAGGAUAGCCAUAAACCACAUCAUAUGUUUAAUUUCAGCAAGCACAACUGAUUACUCUAAAAAGCCCUAAAGUUUUUUCUUUGGUCUACAAUGUUUUCAGAGCUGUUGUGUAGGGAGUGCUCCAUACCUCUGCCCUCCUGCCCGUCCCUCGCUCGCUCGAAUGUCAGUUUUGUUCCUGGGGAAGGUUCUGAGAGUCCCUCUGAUUGCUGAGAGUCCCUUUCCCUUGCUGCUCUACAAGCAGGCAACAACAUUAUUUGGGGGGAGUGGGGGAGAAACUAGAUAAAAAGAAACAACCACCAUCAAUUUCCAAGACCAACAAGGAGAGUGCCAAGAGGUCCACAGCAACUCUGAGCACUAGGAGCCACCAACCCAUUGAUCCCCAGCUCAACUUAAUGGUUACUGGAGGCAGGCAGGGUAUGUGUGCACACGCAAGGGUGCAUUCCCCCUCCCCCCCGGGAAGGUGGGUGGGCUGGAUGGGAUCUGCCAAGAGAGCCACUUCCCAGCCUCUCUCAACAGCACUCUCCCCACUUUAUGCAAUUUCACAUAUAUGUACAGAGUUUGGGAACGUAACCCCAGCUUAAGUGCAGGAGAUGGGGACGCAGGUAUUACAACAUUCAGACUGAUAACAUUUGGCCUCUAUGCUUUUGCUUUGGUGCAAACCAACCUUAGCAUUGUAUUGCCGCUUGCAUUUAUUAAAAAACUGCAUUAAAAUGCUUUUUACUUUUAAAUGUUACUAUGUAUUAAAACUUCACUUCACAAACC
RNAcentral lists this long non-coding RNA (6741 nucleotides) under Podarcis lilfordi (Lilford's wall lizard). The record is from RNAcentral. Lineage: Eukaryota; Metazoa; Chordata; Lepidosauria; Squamata; Lacertidae.